UUCUCAACAAUGGCCUGUGUGCUACAUAAGCGAAUCGUUUGCAGCUUUCUAUUUUGUCAAACUGUCAUAUUGCUUGGACGAGUGAAUGGAUAUUUAUAGCAUCCAAAUGUUAUCAUUUUUUAGGAAGAGAAGUAGGUCUAGCAUGAAGGAUAAGAGCCACUUAGCUUAGCCAAGGAGACUGCCUAUUAAUCCACAUCGAGAUCUCAAAUCUUAAAACCGAUAAGAUCUCUGAAGACGAUGCAGGCAAGUCAUCCCUGGCUACCAAAGAUAAGCUCUCCAUCCCCAUGUAAGGCUCUCUCUUCCACCCUAAAUCAUUUGUGAUGCGGUCGCCUCUUACUUCCCAUGCCACUAUUUAUAGAAAACCAUGUACUCGCUAUCGGUAGCUUUUUCAGGGACUGGGGAAUAUAUUCUCAUGACCUAAAGCUAUGAGAUUAGCAACGAUGUUUUGUGGUUAGGGUUAUCUGGUUUGUUCCGACUUUGCAACCUUAAUUAUUAUGCAGGUAAUAAUUGCAUGUAAUUACAACUGCCAUCAUAUAUGCAGGUAAUAAAUGCAUGUAAUUGCUGUGUGUUUGUUUUGGAA
This is a long non-coding RNA of Asparagus officinalis (garden asparagus), 580 nucleotides long. RefSeq lists it as uncharacterized. NCBI's taxonomy places the organism in Eukaryota, Viridiplantae, Streptophyta, Magnoliopsida, Asparagales, Asparagaceae. The transcript has 2 exons. The record is from RefSeq and is a predicted model, not a curated record.